This 468-nucleotide ribosomal RNA is filed under the name Acinetobacter sp. Carola12. RNAcentral describes it as "bacterial SSU rRNA". It matches the Rfam family "Bacterial small subunit ribosomal RNA", at positions 15 to 477 of the family's 1533-position model. The record is from RNAcentral. Lineage: Bacteria; Pseudomonadati; Pseudomonadota; Gammaproteobacteria; Moraxellales; Moraxellaceae.
GAUCAUGGCUCAGAUUGAACGCUGGCGGCAGGCUUAACACAUGCAAGUCGAGCGGAGUUGUGGUGCUUGCACCAUAACUUAGCGGCGGACGGGUGAGUAAUGCUUAGGAAUCUGCCUAUUAGUGGGGGACAACAUUUCGAAAGGAAUGCUAAUACCGCAUACGCCCUACGGGGGAAAGCAGGGGAUCUUCGGACCUUGUGCUAAUAGAUGAGCCUAAGUCGGAUUAGCUAGUUGGUGGGGUAAAGGCCUACCAAGGCGACGAUCUGUAGCGGGUCUGAGAGGAUGAUCCGCCACACUGGGACUGAGACACGGCCCAGACUCCUACGGGAGGCAGCAGUGGGGAAUAUUGGACAAUGGGCGCAAGCCUGAUCCAGCCAUGCCGCGUGUGUGAAGAAGGCCUUUUGGUUGUAAAGCACUUUAAGCGAGGAGGAGGCUCCUAUAGUUAAUACCUAUAGAGAGUGGACGUUA